This 102-nucleotide transfer RNA is filed under the name Aspergillus caelatus. It matches the Rfam family "tRNA". From Rfam's summary of the family: Transfer RNA (tRNA) molecules are approximately 80 nucleotides in length. The record is from Rfam by way of RNAcentral. Lineage: Eukaryota; Fungi; Ascomycota; Eurotiomycetes; Eurotiales; Aspergillaceae.
GGCACUUUGGCGGAGUGGUUAACGCGAUGCCCUGCUAUACCCUAAUAAGGGUGAGCCUAGGCAUUCCCUUCGGGGGCGUGAGUUCGAAUCUCACAGGUGUCG